RNAcentral lists this ribosomal RNA (81 nucleotides) under Salmonella enterica subsp. enterica serovar Enteritidis. The record is from RNAcentral. Lineage: Bacteria; Pseudomonadati; Pseudomonadota; Gammaproteobacteria; Enterobacterales; Enterobacteriaceae.
UCUGGCGGCAGUAGCGCGGUGGUCCCACCUGACCCCAUGCCGAACUCAGAAGUGAAACGCCGUAGCGCCGAUGGUAGCGUG